GGGCACGGUCCCUCCCGGUGAAUUUCCGAGCUGCCCCGGGUCCGAGGGGCCGGGGGCUGUGAGUUGCUGUGCGGGUCAGCCGCGUUCGUGCGGCCUCUCAGACAACUGCGAGCCGCUAACAGUGCACAGAAUGUCUGAAAGAUAAAUACCCUGUUCGUUCCCCUCAGUAUUACUUUCUUAGCAAAGACCGCACUUCCACGGGCUCUUUUCAGUUCAUUUGCAGAGUAGUCGGAAGUCCCGCAGGAAAAUCCACACUGUUUUUCCCAACAUGCCAGACCAACCUUCCGCAGAGAACAUAUACGUGGGAGAUGUCAAGGGAAUUGGGAGUCUCUUCUUGGCAGCUUUCUAGACACAGGAAACUCAGCUGUUUUUCUGUUCUUUAAGGAUCUAGAAAGUAAUUUUUGAGCCUCCAGAGCUCUGAGCAUUUGGACACAUUAACACGCCCACACUGGAAAGGGCAGAGGAGAAAAAAGGAAAACAAAUGAGGCUCCAGUGAGUGCACUCUUAAAAAGUGUGGGAAGAACCUCUGCUUAUGCUAAUAAACAUUUGAGGUAUCUUGUGUUGAACUUGAGGAUUUUGAGCAGAAAUGCAAGACCUGUCUGGUCUCCUCCCAUCUCAGUGAUCAGUCCAUGAUUUUUAUAAAUACCCCUGAAAGCAAGCCUUUGCACACAGGCAGAAUUAUAUUCUGUGUCACAAUAGAUAGGAAUGCUGAAACUGACUGGGUUUUUUGCACUGGCUGUGCUUUAAUACAUGUGCAGUUAAUUAAAUGCUGUGUGGAAGUCACAGAGGAUUUUACGUUUGGUUUCUCCCGAGACCAUGUCUUAGCAUUUGAGCCUUAGCACAGCUUUAUAAAGACACUCAUUGAAGCCAAAGACUCACUGUCCUUGAGUUGCCCCUGGAAACAAUGGAUAGGAAAAGCACUGGGCAUCUUAGAGAGCAUUUCCUUUUCUCGUUAUGUCUGUUUAUCAAAUCAGUGAAGGGAAGGUGGACUUUCAGAAGUUUUAAGCUAUUCUUCAACAAUCCAACCCGAUUUCAUCUCUACUCCAAGACAUCAGGAAGUAACAUUUUUUAUUUUUUAGAAUAAUAAAAUUAUUAAGGUUGGAAAAGACCUCUAAGAUCAUCAAUCCAGCCUCCAAAAAACCCUAUUUUUUUGAUAGAAGA
Molecule: long non-coding RNA, 1161 nt
Organism: Vidua chalybeata
Lineage: Eukaryota; Metazoa; Chordata; Aves; Passeriformes; Viduidae
Exons: 3
Source: RefSeq, a predicted model, not a curated record